This 300-nucleotide ribosomal RNA is filed under the name uncultured Halomicrobium sp. RNAcentral's name for it is "bacterial SSU rRNA". It matches the Rfam family "Bacterial small subunit ribosomal RNA", at positions 496 to 795 of the family's 1533-position model. Lineage: Archaea; Methanobacteriati; Methanobacteriota; Halobacteria; Halobacteriales; Haloarculaceae. The record is from RNAcentral.
GCUAACUACGUGGCAGGAGGCGCUGUAAGACGUAGUGUGCGAGCGUUGUACGGAUUUAUUGGGCGUAAAGAGUUCGUAGGUGGUUUGUUAAGACUGAUGUUAAAGACUGGGGCUCAACCUCGGAAAUGCAGUGGGUACUGGCAGACUCGAGUGUGGUAGAGGCAAUCGGAAUUCCAGGUGUAGCGGUGAAAUGCGUAGAUAUCUGGAAGAACACCGGUGGCGCAAGCGGAUUGCUGGGCCAUAACUGACGCUGAGGAACGAAAGCUAGGGUAGCGAAUGGGAUUAGAUACCCCUGUAGUC